Molecule: unclassified non-coding RNA, 536 nt
Filed under: Leishmania donovani
Lineage: Eukaryota; Euglenozoa; Kinetoplastea; Trypanosomatida; Trypanosomatidae
Description: gene:unknown
Source: RNAcentral
CACCCUUUUUCAGCUCGCUAUCAUUCGCCUGCUGUGCGCUUCACAUUAUGCGCCUGUGUUGUUGAUGCUGCUCUACCAUCACGCACCCAUUUCUAUGUUUUUGUUUUGGUUCUUUUUUUUUCCGGCUCUCUGUCUCCAUGCGUCCCAGUGCGCGCGAACGCCCCUCCCCCUUUUCACCUUUUGCGUGGGUGGGUGUGCGUGUACCGCUUUACGACUUCCGAAUGUGGGCGGACUUGAUUGUGUUGCUGCGCGCUUUUUCAUCCAUUCCCUAUAGGUCAAAUGGUGCACAUACAAGGCAGCCACUGUUCGCGUCAUGCGAUUGCUGUUUGCCCUCGCGGCCCCUAACGAAUACAGAGAGACAAGCAUGGGCUAAGCGCAUCAUCGUCUCUGCCUAGCGAGCCAUCCAAGCGCUGAGAACGCCGUGCCCCACUCCUCGCAGCUCUGUGCUCGAGCGGGGCCUUUGGCCUGCGUGCCGCCACAGGUCUCGUGCACUUUUACGGCUUCCAUCUUUGAAGUCCCCUCCUUCCCCUCCCCAG